Magnolia sinica is the source of this 388-nucleotide long non-coding RNA. RefSeq lists it as uncharacterized. The transcript is spliced from 3 exons. Lineage: Eukaryota; Viridiplantae; Streptophyta; Magnoliopsida; Magnoliales; Magnoliaceae. The record is from RefSeq and is a predicted model, not a curated record.
UCAUCAAGGCGCGCACACACAAAUAUGUAUAUACAUGUGUGUAUGUAUGUGUAUGCGUACCUACGUAGGCAUGUAUAUAUGUAGAGAGAGCAUGCUUUCUGCAAUUUACAAAGGCCGGCAUUUUCAGGCCUAUCAAGUUCAUAAACUAUGAAUGACAUGUAUGUAUGUACGUAUGUACGUAUGUAUAGAGAGAGAGAGAGCAUGCCUUCACAGAUUUUUUCAGGUCCAUCAAGUUCAUAAACUAUGAAUGACAUGUAAGUAUGUAUAUAUGUAUGUAUCUAUAGAGAGAGAGACAGCAUGCCUUCACAGAUUUACUAAGGCCCGCAUUUUCAGGUCUGUCAAGUUCAUAAACUAUGGAACCAUUCAUACCACCUACAAGCAAAAAAAU